GAAACACAAUAAUUAAUAUGAAUUGCAGAAUUUAGUGAAUUAUCGAGUCUUUAAACGCACAUUACGCCCAUUGGUAUUCCUUUAGACAUAUCUAUUUAAGCGUCAUUACAACCCUCAACUAACCGCUGUUUUGAACCUGAACGGGUAACACCGCACCAGUUUUAAAGUUGUAAGCUCUACUGGUUGCUCUGCCUAACCAAAACAUAGUAAACAUUACUUAUCCGGGUGAAGCUGAACAAUACAACCUGAACAAAACCUACCCACUCUCAAAAUUUAACCUCAGAUUAGACAAAGAUACCCGCUAAACUUAAGC
This 313-nucleotide unclassified non-coding RNA is filed under the name plant metagenome. Its description in RNAcentral is "partial contains 5.8S ribosomal RNA, internal transcribed spacer 2, and large subunit ribosomal RNA". The stretch from base 1 to 105 matches the Rfam family "5.8S ribosomal RNA", at positions 50 to 154 of the family's 154-position model. The record is from RNAcentral.